ACAAAAUGGACCUUCCCCCUGGUAAUCCAGGCCAUUUUG
Molecule: transfer RNA, 39 nt
Filed under: Leptobrachella heteropus (variable litter frog)
Lineage: Eukaryota; Metazoa; Chordata; Amphibia; Anura; Megophryidae
Description: Leptolalax heteropus (variable litter frog) tRNA-Val
Source: RNAcentral